Molecule: long non-coding RNA, 248 nt
Filed under: Mytilus galloprovincialis (Mediterranean mussel)
Lineage: Eukaryota; Metazoa; Mollusca; Bivalvia; Mytilida; Mytilidae
Source: RNAcentral
AUCCAAAUAUAGGUUUGAUAAUUCUGUGACAAUAUUAUUAUUAUCCUUUUUUAUAUAUAUAUAGCUGGUUACGUUUUUCUCUUUGACUAUAUCACCCUGCUGCGCAGAUUUUUUUUAGCGACGUGAACAUGACCAAGGAAAAUUAUCAAGCUUACUCUCGUCUAUCGAAAAACUAUUGAAGCGAAGGAGAAAACAACAGAAAUGAAGCAAGAUAAGCAGUUUAUCGAAUUUUACCCAUUAGGAGCACC